Molecule: transfer-messenger RNA, 346 nt
Filed under: Nitrospirota bacterium
Lineage: Bacteria; Pseudomonadati; Nitrospirota
Also listed under: 1 other name
Description: Nitrospirae bacterium (groundwater metagenome) transfer-messenger RNA
Rfam family: transfer-messenger RNA
About the family: Bacterial tmRNA, also known as 10Sa RNA or SsrA, is named for its dual tRNA and mRNA-like properties.
Source: RNAcentral
GGGGGCGACAGGCCUCGACGGGAGUUAUGAGGUCUGAGUUGCAUGUCGUGGCUCUGCCACCACGUAAAAAGGCAGAAAAAACACAAAAGCCAACACAGAACUGGCACUUGCUGCUUAAUUAAGCGGCACGCUUCCCUGAGAAGGCCCGCGGCUCGGAAGAAGCGUCGAUAAGCGGGCUGGUCCGGAGAUUUUCUCCUUGCCCUCCGGAUAAGACUUUAAAGGAGUAGGAAUCGGGGAAGCCCUCUUACCGGCGGUCCCGAUCCCGAAUUUCAGUAAGUAAGAUAAACAUGUAGACGCUCGGAAGUAGUGCUUCCGGACCCGGGUUCGAUUCCCGGCGCCUCCACCA